UGGCUCAGUGGUAGAGCGCUUGCCUUGAAUGCAUGAGGCCCUGGGUUCGAUUCCUCAG
Non-coding RNA from Dipodomys ordii (Ord's kangaroo rat), 58 nucleotides. The record is from Rfam. Lineage: Eukaryota; Metazoa; Chordata; Mammalia; Rodentia; Heteromyidae.